Molecule: ribosomal RNA, 468 nt
Filed under: uncultured bacterium
Lineage: Bacteria
Description: partial 16S ribosomal RNA
Rfam family: Bacterial small subunit ribosomal RNA
Source: RNAcentral
GACGAACGCUGGCGGCGUGCUUAACACAUGCAAGUCGAACGGAAAGGCCCUGCUUUUGUGGGGUGCUCGAGUGGCGAACGGGUGAGUAACACGUGAGUAACCUGCCCUUGACUUUGGGAUAACUUCAGGAAACUGGGGCUAAUACCGGAUAGGAGCUCCUGCUGCAUGGUGGGGGUUGGAAAGUUUCGGCGGUUGGGGAUGGACUCGCGGCUUAUCAGCUUGUUGGUGGGGUAGUGGCUUACCAAGGCCUUGACGGGUAGCCGGCCUGAGAGGGUGACCGGCGACAUUGGGACUGAGAUACGGCCCAGACUCCUACGGGAGGCAGCAGUGGGGAGUAUUGCACAAUGGGCGGAAGCCUGGUGUAGCAACGCCGCGUGCGGGAUGACGUCCUUCGGGUUGUGAACCGCUUUCGCCUGUGACGAGGCGUGAGUGACGGUAAUGGGUGAAGAAGCACCGGCUAACUACGUG